This 8308-nucleotide long non-coding RNA is filed under the name Gossypium barbadense (sea-island cotton). RNAcentral describes it as "long non-coding RNA (GBAR_LNC022829)". Lineage: Eukaryota; Viridiplantae; Streptophyta; Magnoliopsida; Malvales; Malvaceae. The record is from RNAcentral.
AUCCCUUUCGCUGUAUGGCGUGCUCGUUUGGGUUGGGCGUCGGCUAAGAGUGCUCGGAGCUUGGAUUAACUCCAGUCGCCAAUCAGGUGUGUAUUUCUCGCUACUCUAGUUGUAGGAUGUCUACUUCGGGCCGCAAUGGGCCGAAAGGGGUCAUGUGGGCCCAAUCGGCCUAUGGGCCCAAUUGGAUAAGUUGUUUGAUUGUGUAGUAAAUAUUAGACUAGGCUAGGUGAAUCUCAUAUCUGUGGCUAGAUUCGGGCUAAAAGGGCCACACGAGCGUGAGGGCCCAUUUGGGCCGAGAAUGGGCCUAAAUGGGCCGAGAAUAGGCUUUAGGCCCAUUCGUAUUGUUAUCCCUGUUUAGAAUACUUUAGUUUACCAAAUUACUGAAAUGCCCAUAAAUUGUAAAAUUACCAAAGUACCCUCGAUUUAUAGAAUUACCGUUUUACCCUCGAUUUAUAGAAUUACCGUUUUACCCUCGAUUUAUAAAAUUACUGUUUUACCCUUAUUUACAGAAUUACUGUUUUACCCUCGAUUUACAAAAUUACUAAAAUACCCUUGGUUUACAAAAUUACCAAAAUACCCUCGAUCAGUAAAAUUACCAAAAUACCCUAGUCUGUAAAAUGCUAAAAUACCACUGGUUUGUAAAAUUACCAAAAUACCACUGGUUUGUAAAAUUACCAAAAUACCAUUGGAUUAUGAAAUUAUCGAAAUACCCUCAAUUUGUAAAAGUACCAAAAUACCCCUGAUUUACAAAGUUACAGAAAUACCCUUGACUUUCUAAAAAUUAUGGAAAUACCAUUGGUUUACAAAAUUACUGAAAUACCCUUGGUUUGUAGAUUUACCAAAACACCCUUGUAGGAUGAAAUGACUAAAAUACCCCUAUUAGGUAAAAAGACCGUAAAGCCCUUGUAGGGUAAAGUGACCGUAAAGCCCCUGUAGGGUAAAGUGACCGUAAUACCCCUGUAUGGUAAAAUGACGAAUAUUCCCUUAUGUUCCCUAUGACUGAUGUGCUUAGGAUUUACAUAUAUUGAUAUUGGAUUAGUUAAGUUUGAGUGACAGGUGGUGGUUAUCGUAGGCGAUUGAUUUUGGAAACGUUUCAACUUCAACCCGUAACAGGUGUGUACUAACCCUCGUAAUAGCUUAGAUUAAUAUUUGCUGAGAAGCCGAAAUGCUAAAAUACCGGUAUUUUGGGAACUUGUAAUGUUGCGUUUGGGUAUAGAUGCAAUAAAUACGAUAAGAUCGGUGUUUGGAUCGAUGGAACAGGUAAGAACUCAAUUUUGUGCACGAUGGUAAGUUGGGCCUCAAUGGGCUGAAAUUGGGCCCAAUGGGCUUUCGGACCCAUUUGGGUAGAAUGGAAUUUGGAAAAGUUGCACGUUAACACGGUUAGUAUUGUUGUAAAAUUUGGGUUAAGUAGGCUAAAUCAGCAUUCGUAGGGCCCAUUAGGGGUUUUGGGCCCAAAAGCCCGAAUUUGAUAAAGUGGGUUAAAGAUCAUUAUUUAAACACUCGAAAAUAUUGAUAAUUGUAAUGAAGAUGGAAAACCCUGAUAUUUGGUAAAAUUACGAAAAUACCCUUAUAAUGUGAAAAAUGUCUGUUUUGCCCUUGUGGGCAAGUGACUGACUUGGACUGUGUGGUUGACGGAUUUGAUUGUGAAUAUAUGUUGGUGAUAUGAAUGACUUGACUGUGAUUGUUUAAUUCAAAUAUGGGCAUGACAUUCUGCAUACAUGACAUGUUGCAUUGGGUUGGGUUUUUAUAUGGAUGGAGGAAGUGCAAAAGGGCUUAUGCCCCAUUUUAUUGAAAAGGGCUUAUGCCCCAGUUUACCGAAAAUGGCUUAUGCCCCAGUUUAUUGAAAAAGGCUUUGCCUCAGUUUAUCGAAAAGGGCUUUGCCCCAGUUAUUAAAGAGGCUAGGCCUCCAGAUAUAUGAUAAAGCAGCUAUGCUGCCAGUGAUGUGUUGGUUGGGUGGGUUGAGUUAUUCCCCACAUGGUGUGUUGGUUGGUACAGGUGGAGAGUAGCGGAUGGUGGGUUGAGUAGUCUCCCCAAAUGGGCUUGCAUACAUUCAUUGGUAUUUCAUGUGGUAUUGAAAUGGGCUUGCAUACAUCCAUUGACAUUACAUGUGAUAUUGAAAUGGGCCUAAGGGCCAUACCAUUUACAGUAAAGGCUUUGGCCCAAUGAUAUGAUUUAUGAAAAGGCUUCGGCCCAGUGAUAUGAUUUAUGAAAAGGCUUCAGCCCAGUAACCGUUAAACGAAAGGCUUCGGCCCAGUAUAUGUCAAGACUAAAUAGGGCUUUGGCCCAGAUUGUACUGAUACUGUGUUUUCACUGUUUGUUUGUUAUUGGGAUUACACACUGAGUUUUCGUAAACUCACCCCAUUUCUAACUGUGUAGGGAAUCCCUAAGCUUAGAUGGUUUGGAGCUGCGAGGGACUCGGAGAUGGCCACACUACUAUUUCUGUUUCUUUUAAUUGCAAUAAGUAGCCGAUUUAUUUCUUUAUAAGUUUUAUCUUAUUAAUAUUAUUGUUUGGUUUUGGGUUGUAAUAAGGCCAUUUUAAUUAUUUUUCUGGGAUUAUUUUAUUUUUAAUAACUUUAAUCUGUUUGUUAAUAAAUGGGCUAGACUUAGGACGUGUUUUCAAAAUGAUAAUUGUUUUCAAAAUAACACCACGCCACGAUUAUCCGAUUUAUCAAAGAUUUCAACUUAAAUAAAUUACAACUCGAUUUAACCAAGUGUGGCAAUGGUUGUGGGCAUGUCUAGGAUUGGAUCCAUUAGAAGAGCUUGGUACUUAAGCAGCCUUCAUGGCUCACCUCCUCUGUUACGGAUUCCUACCUGGUGCCCAGCUCUCAUUCACUUUGUUAGCUUAACAAAAUUCAGUUUUUAAAGCACUAAAAUGAAACAUGGGUUUUUAACUUCAAUGUGGCACAUCAGAUUCGGCCAUAACGUCUGGGCUGGGUUUGGGGUGUUACAACUUAUAUCUUGCAUGAUUCAGUUAUUAAACUGAUUUAUUUGUUAAGUGAUUAUUUAUUUGAAAUUGGUUGUUUAUUCAAGAGUACUUAGUAUAUUAGGGAGUGACACCCUUGAUAGAAUAUCUAGAUAGGUGAGACUGGAAGGGUAUCCUUUCGUGUAUAACUUGUGCCAAAUGAAGACUGGAAGGGUAUCCGUAAUCCUAGGAAGAGACCAGAAAAGUGCCUUAGGUGGUAAUCCUUAGUGAAGAUGAGAUCGGAAGGAUAUUCUUAGCUAAGGGUUAUAAAUAACUCAAUCUAGGACAAUUAAUUAUUUAAUUAGAAAUUAGGGAUUUAAUCAAUCAUAGGCUAGAGGCUCGUAUUAUUGACACUAGGAAUAGGAAAUUCCAUUGGUAUAGUUAGGUUAAUUAAUAUAAUUAGUUUAAUUAAUAUUUUAAUUUGGAUUUAACACUACUAAUUUGUGACUUGAUUAGAUUAUUAGUUCUUUUCUAUAAUUAAUUUAAUUAUAGUUUCUCCAAUUUGCAAUCCAAAUUGCAUGGCAUGACACGAUAGGUGUUCCACACUUUCUUGGUUCGUUUCAUGCAUUGAUAACUCGGGAAGCUUGCACAUCACUUGUCCUUUGCUCCUACAUCAAUUGGGCCUAUAAUUCAUCAUCCUACACACUCAAUUACACACAUUAGCACUAUUUAAGGCCCAUGUCAGCCUAAUAGGUCACAACAUUUGCAAAUUGUGUUAAAAAACACUUAAUUUACUAAUAUUUAAUCCUAAGUACUAAAUGCCAAAAACAUAAUAUAUAAUACUAAAUUGCCUAGAAAAUAGACUCCUUAAGUGCAAAAAUAACCCAAAAUAACUACUACAUUUUACGGUAGCUCAGUACAGUCCUCGGAAUACUUACCGCUGUUCCAUUGUAACACUUCUAUAUUAGAAUUUGACAUGUACGCUUGCAGAUACCGCACUUAGAUAUUUAUAUUUUUAUUUGCAUGAUUUUUACUCUGAACUUUUCUCACAUUUAGAGGCAGUCAAUUGACGAUUGGAGAAAAUCACUAUUAAAAUAAUUACAGAAAAUAAAUACUAAUUUAGUCGAGUUACAAAUUACUAGUGUAAAUCCAAAACAAUAAUAAAAUUUAUUGAGUACUUUAACCUAAACUAAAACUAAUCCUAAGUUAAUUAUUGAUUUGUCUUAUUCCUAAGUUAAUUAAGAAUACCUUCUAGUCUCAUCUUCACUAAGGAUCACCACCUAAGAUACCUUUUUGGUCUCACCUAGGCAUAGAGAUACCCCUCAAGUCUCACCGCUCAGUAUGAGUUCUACUCAAUAGGAUACCCUCUCGAUCUCACCCGUCUUAAUCUUCUACUAGGGGCGUCACUUCUUAGGAUACUAAGUACUCUCGAGCAAACACUAAAUUUUGGGGUGUUGUUUGAUUAAUGAAACAACCAACUAAUAUGGGAUAAAUGCCAAGCAUAAAAUAGAUUUAAGAAAUAAAAUUAACAAAUGGGACAUAAAUAAUAUAAUAAGGGAAAGAGAUGCUCUGGAUUAGAAGAUAAAAGUAUGGUUCCAAAACAAUCUCUGCUCGCUAUAAUCUAGCGUCAGAAUAGGAUCCCCCAAUUAAGCGAACAUAAAAAUAAAACUAAAGAAAAACUAAAAACUAAAUCUAAAAUAUGAAAAAAAACUAUUCCCAUAGCUCAGCCUAAGCCUUGCUAUUUAUAGGCAUAUUAGCUGCCCUAAUUAGGUAAAAUACAAGCCUUAAAACUGAUAAAUAUGGAUUAUGUGGAUGAAAACACUUCGUUGUUGUUCUUCAUGCUUCUAGGCUUGAAAAUAAGUGUCCUAUGAAUUCAAUUAAACUCAUUAAAACUACCUUAGGCCUGUAUUGGCCUAUUAGAUCAACUAAAGUUCAAUUAUGAAUAAAAACACUUAUUUUACUCGAAUUUAAAUCUGUUACUAAAAUUGAAAAUACAUUAAAAUAGCAUAAAAUGGCCUAAAAACAAGUUCAUUAAGUGCCAUAAAGAGUUUAAUUUUCCAUAACGAAUUGUGGCAGGUCAAAUUCCCCCACACUUAACUUGUUGCUUGUCCUCAAUAAAACAAAACAAGUAUAAACUAAAAAGAAAAAUAAAACAAACAAAACAACAGUGUACUUGAGCAUGUUUCAUACAUGAGAUUGGUUUUGGAACAUUAGAGAUAGGAGAAUAUGCUAAACAAGUAAUUCUAGCUAGAUGUUUGAAUUUCACUUCAAACAUGCUAGUUUAAUAAGUUUCAAAGUAAACAAGUUAAAGAAAGCUAAAAAUAUAAUUACAUCUAAUCAUAUACACGAGUUUAACUAUAAAAUUUAAAGUAUAUAAGGUUUUUCUAGUAAUUUUUACUCCAUUUUUACUGAAAAACAAUACUAAUUCCGAGUAUUUGUUAAUUAUUUAAGUGAAAUUUUCUUAUAUUCUGACAAUGGACAUGAAUUUAUAGAAUAUUUAAAUUUGUGCUUUAUUAUGUCAAUUUUGUGCAUAAAUUAAAUUAUUUCAUGUUAUUUAUUAAUGUGCUAUAUUUAAUUAAUGUAGUGGGACCAUAAAGUUGAUUUAAUAAAGAGCUUAUUAUAAUUUUUGCAUGAACAUGAGUAAUUCUAUCCUACUUGGAUGGAAAAACCAUGCAAAUUGGGUCAUGAAGAUGUUACUUUGACCCAGUGAAAAAUGGUGCCACAUGGUGGACAAGUUUGACUAUUAAAUGGGUCAAAAAACUGUCCAAACAAGGAGAAGAUAAGCCCAAUUUAGCAAGGAUAUUUGGGCAGCCAAAAAUAAGCUCUUGGAAUAAUAACUUGGAGGUCCCUACACUUGGAAAAUCAUUGAAAAUCAACACAUUAUGUUUGUUAAAGAAAUCAUCCACCCCUUGCAUGAUUCAAGCAUGAUUUUAUGCUUGAUUCAAGCAACCAGCUCACCCUCCUUUCCACAUAUUAUGGUUGGCCAAAGCUGGGAGAAAUCUAAGUGAUCUUUGAUGUCGUAUUUAGUAAACUCCUCUACCAACCUUAAGUAUAAAUACCCACUCCCAUAUCACAUUUCAAUGAUCCCUCAUUUAACAUUUUUCUUCCAUUCUCUCAUUCACUCUCUUUAUUCCCAGGCAUAACAUCCCAUAUUUACUUUCUUCCUUAGCUAGCAAAACCUUGAUAAGAUCAUCUCUUGGUUGGCCACCUUGAGGAGCCGUUAGCAAAGGAGCAACACGAGGAUGGGAGGAAACUUCUUCAAUCGAAGUUGGCAAGGCUUCUGAUUCGAAAAGAAUUUAUUCUUCCUUUACUUGUUACUUUGAUUUUUGUAACAUCCCAAUUUAGGGCCUAGUCAAAACAAUGAUUUUGAGACCACAUACCCGAAAUAGAAAUAAUUAUUUCUUUAAUAUUAUGAGGUCUAGGAUGAGAAUCUAUGCUUGAGCAAAAAUUUCAUAGAGAAAUUCUAUGCCUAAGAUGAUUAAUUUGACAUUAGGGACCAAAUUGCAAGAUAUGUAAAACUUGAGUUCUAAAACCUUUUAGCAUGAAAUUGAGUUGGAUUAUAAAUUAGAGGUCCUCAAAUAGUAAUUUGACCAAGUUCUAAAAAUUUGGACAAAAAUAGGCAGGCAUGGGUAAAAUUUUAAAGAAAUGCCUUAAGGGCAUUUUGGUCAUUUGGUUAAUUAAAAAAUAAAAAGGGAAAAAUCAGACAAAAAUGUUGUCCAUCUUCUUCAUGGAGUGCCCAAAAUUCAAGGGGCUCCAUAGCUAGGGUUUUCAACAUUUCAAGCUUGAUUUUAAGUGCUCCCUAGCCCUCUUUUGAUGUUCUUUAUAUUUUUGAGAUCCUUAAAGCAUGUUUUAGCCAUUUCUACCCUUAUUUUAAGCUAGGGUUCAUGUUCAAAAAAUUACCCAUGUGUGACAUGUUUGUAUUUUGGAGUUUAAUGAAGGAAUAUGAAGGAUUGAUGUAUGACAAACAUCUUUUGUCAAGUGGUGUUCCAUGAAAAUACCUAAAAAGGAUCAAGUUGCAAAAGAUGUAAUAGUGGGUAGUAGAAAAGUGAAAUAAAGGAAAUUGUCGAUUUUUAUAAGCUAUAAUAUAAUUUGGCUAGGCUUGGAAAAUCAAGGGAAUGCAUGUAUGUCAUUAUCGAGCCUAGGGACUAAAAUGUAAAAAUGUAUAAAGUUAGGGGUAAAUAGGUAAUUUUUCCAAAGAGUGAUUCUGAGUUGAAAUUGAAGAAUGUGAUGAAUUAAUAAUUUAAAUUGUUUAUAUAGACUUGGAAAGACCAAUUCUGGAAGUAGAGCAUGGAAAAUAAAAGUUUUUGGAAUAGUUAAAAUAUAAACCCGAGACAUCAUCCAGGUAAGUUCGUGUAACCUAAUUUGGAUGUUUCAUGUUGACUUUAAUUGUAGUGUUGAUUUGAAUUUGAAAUGUAUAAAUAAUGAAUUGUAUGAAAAUGCCUAUAAUUAUGAAAUUAAUUGAAAAAUGGGUUAGAAUCCGUUUGAAUAUGGAAUUCCGAUGGAUAGGUCACUUCUCAUGAGAAAUGGGAUCCUGCAUGUGUUGCAGAAAGGAUUUAGCAUCCAUUGAUCCCAUUAUGGAAAGGAUUUAGCCAGAUGGGUAAUCCUGAAAUGAGCCUAUUAAGCUUAUGUUUCAAUUAGGAUUUAGCCUGAACUGGUAAUCUAGAUUAGACUCUGUAGGGUAUUCUUUGUCAUGUAAAGGAUUCAGCAUGGACUUGUAAUCCGACGAAGCCCUUAGAGUACAUGGAACAACCAAAAUUUAGACUGGAUUGGUAAUUCUACUAUAAGAGAUGUGGCUCGAGAGUGUACCGUAUAGGGUACUAUUGGAUAUGAAUUGAAGGUUAAUAAAAUAGUACACAUAAAGCGUACUAAGUGAUGAAAUAUCCAUCGAAAAUUCAAGGAUUCGCUGGAUAAAAUAUUUGUAAAUAACAUGAGAAAUACGAAUUUGAAUAUGUAUAUGAUGUGAUGGGCUCAUCUAUGGAUCUUGAAAAUUUAUGUGACUAACUUGUUCAUUGAGUGCAUGUGUUUAGGAAAUUAUUUAUAAUUGACGGGUAACAUGGCUUAUUGUGAUUAUCUGUUAAUUGACCGGUAAGUUUACUUUCCGUUACACGAACUUACUAAGCAUGUGAUGCUUACCCUCUUUUUACAUUUCCCUGUCUUAUAAAGCUCUUGGACUCGUGAAGGUUGGACGAUGGUGGGAGUUUAAUCGCACUAUCAGCAAUCUCAUUUAGGGUAUAAAAGAACUAUUUAUUUUGAUAUAAUGGCAUGUAUAGGAUAACUUAUCUUUUGGUUAUAUGUAUCGUUUUAAUUCGCCAAGUGUAAUGGCUCUUGAUGGUUGAUGAAUUAUUUUGUAUAUGGUCAUGAGAUAUGGCUCAUAUUUUACUAUUGGGUUGUAACCCUUAUUAAUCA